AUUGAACGCUGGCGGCAGGCCUAACACAUGCAAGUCGAACGAGUGGCGGACGGGUGAGUAAUGUCUGGGAAACUGCCUGAUGGAGGGGGAUACCUACUGGAAACGGUAGCUAAUACCGCAUACCAUCGGAUGUGCCCAGAUGGGAUUAGCUAGUAGGUGGGGUAAAGGCUCACCUAGGCGACGCUCCCUAGCUGGGCUGAGAGGAUGACCAGCAACACUGGAACUGAGACACGGUCCAGACUCCUACGGGAGGCAGCAGGGGGGAAUAUUGCAAAAGGGGCGCAAGCCUGAUGCAGCCAUGCCGCGUGUAUGAAGAAGGCCUUCGGGUUGGAAAGUACUUUCAGCGGGGAGGCGUUACCCGCAGAAGAAGCACCGGCUAACUCCGUGCCAGCAGCCGCGGUAAUAC
Molecule: ribosomal RNA, 406 nt
Filed under: uncultured bacterium
Lineage: Bacteria
Description: partial 16S ribosomal RNA
Rfam family: Bacterial small subunit ribosomal RNA
Source: RNAcentral